ACAGUAGGUUGUUCUAUCGCUGGUUAAAUUUUAUUAAUCAGAGGAAAGUCCGGGCAACACAGAGCGCCAUACUUCCUAACGGGAAGAUCUUUGCGAAAGGAUAGCUAGUUUAACAGAAAAUAACCACUUUGCUACAAUUUAUUGUAAUGAAGAAAGGGUGAAAAGGUGAGGUAAGAGCUCACCGGUAUUUCGGGCAACCGAUAUAGCCGUAGACCUUAUGGGUUGAAAGAUCAAAUAUACCGACAAUUAAGGAUUGCUCGUCCAAUGUCGGGGGGUAGAUCGAUAGAACCCAAUAGUGAUGUUGGGUCUAGAGAAAUGAUAGAAAUCCACUUUUGUGGAAACAGAACCCGGCUUACAGACCUACUGUUUAU
RNAcentral lists this RNase P RNA (371 nucleotides) under Bacteroidales bacterium. Its description in RNAcentral is "RNase P RNA component class A". It matches the Rfam family "Bacterial RNase P class A". From Rfam's summary of the family: Ribonuclease P (RNase P) is a ubiquitous endoribonuclease, found in archaea, bacteria and eukarya as well as chloroplasts and mitochondria. Its best characterised activity is the generation of mature 5'-ends of tRNAs by cleaving the 5'-leader elements of precursor-tRNAs. The record is from RNAcentral. Lineage: Bacteria; Pseudomonadati; Bacteroidota; Bacteroidia; Bacteroidales.